RNAcentral lists this ribosomal RNA (256 nucleotides) under uncultured prokaryote. RNAcentral describes it as "partial 16S ribosomal RNA". It matches the Rfam family "Bacterial small subunit ribosomal RNA", at positions 522 to 777 of the family's 1533-position model. The record is from RNAcentral.
AAUACAGAGGUCCCAAGCGUUGUUCGGAUUUACUGGGCGUAAAGGGUGCGUAGGUGGUCAGGUAAGUCUGAUGUGAAAGCUCGGAGCUUAACUCCGAAAUGGCAUUGGAAACUACUUGGCUAGAGGGUUGGAGGGGAGACUGGAAUUCUCGGUGUAGCAGUGAAAUGCGUGGAUAUCGAGAGGAACACCAGUGGCGAAGGCGAGUCUCUGGACAACUCCUGACACUGAGGCACGAAAGCUAGGGGAGCAAACAGGA